RNAcentral lists this ribosomal RNA (264 nucleotides) under uncultured Pseudomonas sp. RNAcentral's name for it is "partial 16S ribosomal RNA". It matches the Rfam family "Bacterial small subunit ribosomal RNA", at positions 519 to 776 of the family's 1533-position model. The record is from RNAcentral. Lineage: Bacteria; Pseudomonadati; Pseudomonadota; Gammaproteobacteria; Pseudomonadales; Pseudomonadaceae.
GGUAAUACAGAGGGUGCAAGCGUUAAUCGGAAUUACUGGGCGUAAAGACGCGCGUAGGUGGUUUGUUAAGUUGGAUGUGAAAUACCCCGGGCCGUCAACCUGGGAACGUGCAUUCAAAACUAGACUGACUAGAGUAUGGUAGAGGGUGGUGGAAUUUCCUGUGUAGCGGUGAAAUGCGUAGAUAUAGGAAGGAACACCAGUGGCGAAGGCGACCACCUGGACUAAUACUGACACUGAGGUGCGAAAGCGUGGGGAGCAAACAGG